Myotis brandtii (Brandt's bat) is the source of this 3152-nucleotide RNA transcript. RefSeq lists it as uncharacterized. The transcript is spliced from 2 exons. Lineage: Eukaryota; Metazoa; Chordata; Mammalia; Chiroptera; Vespertilionidae. The record is from RefSeq and is a predicted model, not a curated record.
CCGGUCCUUGCAGCCCGCGACCACGUCCUUGGCCCGCCUCCAAGGGAACCUCGAUUUUCCAAACCCGGGAAGGCCGGCUGUCCUUCGGCAACUGAGAAGGACGCGAGUGCGUGGUAAAAGGUGUUAACGAUGCCCGGAAAGAAAUAGCCGGACCCAAGAAAGAGACAAUCGUAGCCGCCAGCCAGAGUUCUCCGCUCGCGUGCUCAGCGGACUGAAGAACAAUAAUAACGACAGCAGCCACAAUAGCCACCUUUUAUUGAGCGCUUACUCGGUGCCAGGCACUGUGUAACGCGCUUUACAGGCAACAACCCUCGAAGGUAAGUACCGCUCUUCUCCUAUUUUGCAGGAAACGGGGGCACAGAGAGGUUAAGUAACUCGCCGCAAGCACACAGCUAGCGGAUGUCAGUGCCAGAAUUCCAACCCAGGCUGUCUGGUCCCAUUACUCCUCAGGUCAGUCCGCUGCGCCGGGAUCAUUCUCUUCAUCUUAACGAUGAGGAAGCGAAGGCACACGGACAUUUAAGUCCCUUGCCCAAGGUCACCCAGCUGCUGGAAGUGGAUGAGGCAGAAAGCGAACCCGGGGCUCCUCUCUGUCGGCAGAACCCGUCUUGGCGACAGACGACGACACUUUCAAACCGCCUCCGACAGCCCAGCAGGCUUUUGCCUCCGAACCCCAAGAGGCGCAGCCUCUUCGGAGUUUGGGUGGGUUCCCGCGGCCUCCGAUCCCCGAGCGAAUCAAUUAUUUCUGAGCACAGCAUCAUCUCUGCUCAGCUCGCAGGCGUCAGAAAGGGGCGCGUCUCCCGAAAUCCUGUCGGAGACCCGGCAGCGCGGUCCUCGCAAAGGAUGGAGCGGAGGCGGAGGCAGCGGGAGGGAUCCCGUGUCCCACCUGCAGGGCGGUGGGGCCGGCGCGCAGUUGACGAUUAGUCCAUCGCGGCCGGCAGAGGGCGCUGCCGCACGCGCCUCGGGUCCCAAGGCACCAAGGCCCCUGGACUGGCAGGCUCGACCUGCAGACCAGUAAACUCGGAACCCCCAGAGAGGAGGAGGUGGUUAAGGAAGGAGCCAACAGAUGAAAGGAUCUAUUUUCGACAUAGCUGCAAUGUGUUAAGUGCUCGUUUUGUGCUGUCCUUUCUGUGCCUUGAGACCUUAAUCCUCACUGCAGGCAUGAGAGGUGUGCAUCAUUAUUCUCACUUGACAGAUGAGGUCACACGACUGGUAAAUGGCAAUGCUGGGAACCCACUAGGGGGAUCUGACGUUCAAACCAUGUCCCCAUCACCCAGAAUGUACAAGCUGAUACAACUGGACAGAAGAGGUAAGGCAUAAACCAUGCAAAAACAAACCCAAAUCUGCUCUGAAUGCUUUUAAAACACCACAUGCGAAUUAGGGGCUUCAAUUGUUUUCUGAGCCCCCACUGAGGACUCAGUUGUCUAAAAAGAAAAACAAACCUAAAGGUGCAAUGAGAGAACAGGCAGGAGGCUGUAGCUUUCUCUUGGAAGAGCAUCCGGAGAGGCCCACUCACUUUCUAUGUCUGGGCUCUGAGAAAAUAAAGGUGGCUCUAGGAAAAUCUGAAAAGUAUGAGAGGGGAAAAAAAAUCCCUUCUGCGGUUUUUACUUUCACCAAGCCUCAUUCUGCUAUUCGUGUCUUAUUUUAAAACUAAUGUGGCUCUCUCCACCCUUUAAAUUGGCACGUAAAUAGUAAAAACAGAAGGAAGGCCAGCUACAAACUUCAAAUGCGGUGGGUUUCUCAGGAAGGAGGUACAUGACUUGAAGUGGAAAUGCGGAUCAAAUGAGGUGCCUUAAACAUUUCAAAGACAGACUUUCCACAAGGAAUUUAGAUCAUAAGCUCUUAGAACAGGAGCUUUGUCUGGGUUUGGGCUCAGUAUAGUGUCUAGAAUCUUUGAGUGCCCAAUAAAUGUGGAAAACAAAUCACACUUUUCAUCUAUGUCUGCAUCAUCUAACCAUCUGGGCCACAACUUGCUUAUGGUUUUAAAGUGAGGCUUCUGGGGGAUUUUCCUGUCCUCUGGAUCUCAGAUACACACCCUCCCCCAGACCCCUCACUUCUCCAGAAGUUUGCUCUGGGAAUCCAGUCAAGGUGAGGCAAUUGUUGAUGAUGUCAUCAGGCUUGGUUACACAGAGUGACUGCACACUCUGGAAUCACCAAGUGGAGGCCUUUCCAAACAAGGAAACCAAGCAGAAGGGGCCUCAGGCGACUUAUCCCUUAACAGUUCUCAAUCUCUUGCCCAAUGUCUUUGAACUAGAAGGAUUCCUCUCUUAUCCCCUACAAGAGAGCUCUGGACAUCCCAAGCUGCCUCUUAUAAAAUCCUUGGACUUCUUUGAUCUUUUCUCUCUCUGCUCCUUUCCUCAUUUUUUCAAUGCAUUUAUUCUACAAACAUGCAUCAAGAGCCCACAAUCUGUAGGUGCUAAGGGUACAGCAGAGAAUCUAACAUGGGCUUUGAGCUCACGUUUUCCCAUUCCUACCUGGCUCCUGACUCCAUAGCUCCAACUUUCUUGCCUGCAGAGGCCCCACAAUAUUAAAAGACUUGCUUCACCAGGUGAGACAUAUUUCACAUACAUAUCUGACAUUUUAUCAGCCCCUGGCAGCCCCCUGACCCUAUAGAGCAUCUUGCUGACACCCAUUUGGCACAAGUUCUCUGGGCUCUGAUAUACCCUUAGAAGCGGGACCUGGAGAUAGUACAGCACUUGUCCACAAUCCUUUUCAUCCUUCCUCAUCACUCCUUCAGUUCACAAGAUCACUGUUGAUGACAGAAACAGUUUGGGCCAUAUUUAUGAAACAUCUAUUACAAUAAAAAAAAUCUCAUAGUGCCAUAAUACCCCACUGGUCAAAGGAAAUUGCUGGCUUAAACAAACAGUGACUACCUGACAAAGGGAUGUGUCAGAUAAUGCUUAUGAAUUUUUCAGGUCAUUUUUUUUAAUGGAAUCUUGGGAAUGAGUGAUUCAUAAUAAUGAGGGGAAGGAAAAACAGUAGGCCUGUUUUAGCUCUCAAGAUUCUUCAACUGGAAUAGAUUUUUACCAUCAACAUCCUAGAAAAGACAGAAGGCAUAAGGUAAAUUGCCAGUGUUUGUCUUUUGGGAAACUAUUAAUACUAAAGAACCUUGGUCUUGACCCAUUCCAAAUAAAUAAAUAAAUAAAUAAAAGAAU